GAAAUUAAAAAUUAAAAGAAAGGAUAUGUCUGUUAGAAAUAAAAAGAAGAAUAAGGAAAAGAGUCACAUCUGUUGGAAAAGACCAACAAGAGCAACUCUUUUAAAUAGACACAAACAGUGUCUGUUGGGAACAGGCAUCUAAGCCUAUUAAAGAAGACCCUCUUUAUCCAACAAAACAUACAUCAUAAAAUAAAAAACUUUCCUUCUUUUCUCAAAAUUUCUCAAGUUUUCUUCUAUACUAUUUUUCUACAGAAAAAUAUUAUAGAAGUUUGAUAAUCUUGUUAUAUUCCGGUGAGUGCUCAGCGGAUUGAUUUCGUCAGUGCAAAACGUCAUCAAUCACUAGGCUUCAUUGUAUCUUCGAGGUUUAUAUGCUGAUAACUCUUUUGCACACUACAACUAAGGGCGAAUAAAACCUUAAGGAUAGUGGCAUUGAUACACGUCUUGAAGCCAAUUUCUAAGUUUUUCAGUUAGGUGUUCUAACAAUCUUAAGGUUUUAUUCCAUUCCAAUAAUAACUGCUGCAAGUGGAACACUAAGUGAAUUGGCUUUUGACUUUAUAAAAUUGGACUAGUUUGAUGGUGGCAACUUUCUAAGAUGGCAAAAAAAGAUGCAUUUCCUACUAUCAACCUUGAAAGUUGUCUAUGUUUUGACUACACCUAGACUAAAAGAAGGAGAAAAUGAGUCUGGUGCUACAACGAGAGAGAGGCAAAAAUGGGACAAUGCCGAUUAUAUGUGCAAAGGUCACAGCUUGAAUGGUUUGGUUGAUGGCUUAUUUGACACAUACUAGAACGAGGCUACUGCAAAAGAAUUGUGGGACAAAUUGGAAGUCAGGUAUAUGACAGAAGAUGCAACAAGAAAGAAAUUUCUAGUUAGUCACUUUAUUAAUUAUCAAAUGGUUCUGGGUGUUCUAUUAUAGAACAACUUCGAGAAUUGAAAGAAUGUUUAAUCAGUUUAAACAAUAUAAAAUGAAAAUGGAUGAAACUAUCCUCCAUUAUAGACAAACUUCCUCCAUCAUGGAAAGACUUUAAAAAAAGUCUGAAACACAAAAGGGAAGAAAUAACUCUUGAGGCUUUGGUAAAUCAUCUUCGAAUUGAAAAGGAAUAUAGGAAACAAGAACAAGUUGUUGUUUUUGGUGAAGCCAAAGUACAUGUUGUGGAGGAAGGACAGACCACUAAACCUGCUAAAAAGAAGUUCAAGCAUAUUGUUAAUGGUCAGAAAUUCAAAAGACAAAACAAAAGCACAUGUUUCUAUUGCGAAAAACCAGGGCAUUUCAAGAAUGAAUGUCGAUUAUUGAAGAAGAAAAAUAAUUCUUCAAAAAGAAAAGCUUUUAACAAUUUUAUAGCCAUGAUUUCUGAAAUCAAUGUGCUUGAAGAAAAUGAUGCAUGGUGGGUUGAUUCAGGAGCAACAAAACAUGUGUGCAAUGACAAGAGUCUUUUCAAGAAUUUCGUACCAAGUGAGUGUGGAAAUUUUCUAUACAUGGAAAAUUCUUCUACAGCAAUGAUUAAAGGCAAAGGGACUAUUGAACUUGAACUCACUUUUGGAAAAACUUUAACAUUGAAAGAUGUAUACUAUGCUCCAGAAGUUAGGAAAAAUUUAGUGUUUGAAAGUCUAUUAAAUAAGUUUGGCUUCAAGCUUGUAUUUGAGGCAGAUAAAUUCAUUUUGUCCAAAAGGGGAAUUUUUGUUGAGAAAGGUUACAUGUAUGAUGGAAUGUUCAAAUUAAAUAUUGUUAAUAAUAAUAAGAAUAAAAUAGUUGUUUCUGCUUGUAUGGUUGAAUCUUCUUAUUUAUGGCAUUAUAGAUUAGGACAUUUAAAUUAUAGAAGACUGGAUGACAUGUAUAAAAUGGACUUAAUUCCAAAAUUUAAUCCAAAUAUUGAUAAAUGCAAUACAUGCAUGCUAACAGAAAUAUUUUGUCACAUUCAUUAAUGAUUUCUCUAGACAUUGCUAUGUAUAUUUGUUGCAUUCUAAAGAUGAAAUGCUUGAUAAAUUUAAGGUUUAUAAAUCAGAAGUUGAAUUACAAUGUGAAUCUUUUAUCAAGUGUUUAAGAUCGGAUAAAGGUGGAGAAUAUUAUAGUCCAAGUUAUUUUGCCCCCACUGGAAUAAUCCAUCAUAUUUCAGCACUUGACACACCGCAACAUAAUGGUGUAGCAGAAAGGAAGAAUAGGGUCUUGAUCGAAAUGGUAAAUGCUAUGUUAUCAUAUUCAGGUCUUUGAAAAAAGUUUUUGGGGAGAAGCUUUGUUAACAGCUUGUCACAUAUUAAAUAGAGUUCCUAAAAAGGAAACUAAAAUGACCUUAUAUGAGCAAUGGAAGAAAAGGAAACCAAACCUUAGUUAUAUGAAGGUUUGGGGAUGUAAAGUUGUAGUUAAAGUUCCAAAACCCAAAAGGAAGAAAUUGGAUGAAAAAGGAAUAGAAUGCAUAUUCAUAGGAUAUGCACAACAUAGUAAAGCAUAUGGGUUCAUGGUAAUUAAACCAAAUGAUUCAAUUUCAGUCAAUACUAUUAUUAAAUCAAGAGAUGCAAUAUUUGAUCAAAAUAGAUUCAAAUCUAUUUUAAGACAACUACAGCCACUACAAUCAAUUCAAUCAAAUGUCAUUCCAUUGGAACAAAAUGAAAAUAAUGAUGAAUCUAGACCAGAAAUAAGGAAAAGCAAAAGGGCUAGAAAGGUAAAAGAUUUUGGUCCAGACUUUUAUAUGUUCCUUAUAGAAGGAACAGGAGAAAAUAUGGACAAUAAGAUUCCUUAUUGUUUUAAUUUAGAAUCGAACCCUGUUACAUAUGACGAGGCAAUGAAGUCUCAAGAUUUUGCAUUUUGGAAGGAAGCAAUCAAUGAUAAGCUAGACUCAAUAAUGGGAAAUAAUACUUGGAUUUUGGUUAUUCUGCAUUUCUCACAAUUUCCUUAUUGUUUUAAUUUUUCUUUCCUUCUUUCUUUUUUUCUUCUCUCUUUCCUUGGCCGGCGUUUCUUCUUCCCUCUCUCUCUUUUUCUUCUCCUCUUUUUCCCUUCCUUCUCGACUUUCCUUUUUCUCCUUUUUUCCUUUUUUUCUUUUCCUUUUCCUUUUCCUUCUCUUUCCCUUACUAGCCAAACCCACUGGCUUUCUCCCUUUUUUUAUUAUGCCUUUUUGUUGUGAUUUUUUGAUUUAUUUUUUUUAUUGUGGCUAGGGUAGUUGGCUAAUAGAAUUUUGGAUUUUUUUUUUAUUUGCUAGUUUCUACCAUUUAAAGAAAAUGUGAUUUUUUUUGUUGUUGAUGGAUCUAGUUUUUUUUUUGUUUCAAAAAUCUCCCCCCCCCCCCCCCUCAUGUAUGAAUUUCCCAAUUUUUAAGAACCGGAUUGUCCAAAUUCUUGGACAAUCUCAGGAGUGAAAUCAUGCUCUUCUGAGCAUGAUUUCACAAAACUCCUGGCAACAGGAGUCUUGGGGGUGGCAGUUGGAGGUGACUGGAGAGGGAGGCUGAGCAAAUGUUCAGUCUUUUCCUUUCUCUGUUUCCCUCUUUUUUUUCUUUUUUUCUUUUUUUAUUAUAUAUUUAUUAUUUAUUUAUUUUUUUGGUUAAUUUUUAUUAUAUAUUUUUAUUUGGGGGAUAGGUGUCUACACUAAGCUACCAUGCCAUCCAAAAUCUUUAAAUGUUUACUAAAGAUUUCAAUUGACAUGAAACAUCAAGCUUGUGCAAAAAGUAGAAAAAUAGGAAAUUGUGAGAAAUGGUCCUCCUCGUAAGUCCAUUUCAGAAAUAGCCUUCAAUAUAAAGUUAACUAUUUUUACUCAAUUUUAGUUAUUAGAUGACAAAAAUACCCUUAAAAAAUUUCAAACAAAUUAAAUGCUUUCAAUUUUUCUGUCCCGCCAUUCGUCUAUUGUGCUUCAGCUUUCCCUAAUUUUAUCACCAUCACCAUCUCUUUUUGUUUGUCUCUCAUCAUUUUGCUAAUACAUAGAUUAAAACAUACAUAUAUAAUCAGUUUAAGGAAUUAAAUAUAGUGUAAGGUCUGAACAUUAGCAAUUUGCUGAUCAUUUUCGCACUUUAUUGUGAUUAGUUGUGAAUUAUAUAAUAUCAAUAUUGAUUGCUAUUAUAUCUUAUAUUGACUAAUCAGGCUGGGACAUGAAUAUAUGGUUCACUAUCACUAUCACUGAAUUAAUAUAUUUGAUCAACCAAGUCACUGAUGCAGAUGCACAGGACGUGUGACAAAGGAUAUAACCAAGUCAUUGGUACAGGAUGCAUGCAAUAUUUUCCACGCGAUUUCUUUUCCUUGUUUGCUGCUCCUAUAUAAUGUUUUCCACUCAAACGAAUCUUCCAUUAACAAAUAGUCUCAAAAGUUAAAGGUCAGAUUUAGAGGUCUUACAUAAAUCAGAGAGAAGAGAGAGAUAAGAAUUUGUAAGCUUCAGAAAUGGAGAUAAUCGAGCAACUGUUUACUCAUGGAACAGACGGCUCUAGACUCAAACCAGAAGAUCAUAUAUACGCUUAUAGGUUCAUUCGUCUUUACCGCCAUCAAGGUCCAUUUUCUUUCUUUUUGAUUUUAUUAAUUAUACAUUUUCUUUGUGGUUGAAGUAUUAUAUGAAAGAAGUUGAAACCAUAAAGGUUCUUUCUAAACCUAUCAAAUUCAGGAUUUAUAUGGUUGUCACAUAAAUAUUCAUAUGGUUGGGAUUUAUGUCAUGUUGAUAUCAAUUUCGCGUUGAAGUAGUAGAUUUUGUAAAAUUUUAAUAAAAAUUUAUUGAAAUAGCUGGAUUUAUAAUUUUUUUUAAAUAGUCGUAUAUUCAAAAAUUGAGCUCUAAUAAUCAUAAAUGAAAAAUAUUAAACAUCACAUAAAGGUGUGAUAAAGUCUUUUAUAUUUAAAAAAGAAAGAGAAAAACAAGAAAAAUAGGAUAAAAAAAGAGAAACAAGAUAAUAAAAAGGAAGAAGAAGAAGCAUAUGUACCAUGGUGAGCGUAGAGCCCUCCGGCCCUUGUGGUAUAGAUGUGAUCGCCAGGUUGGGGCUUCCGAACAGGUGUAAGCGUGGUUUGUGGCUGUCCCAUUUUAAUUCUUUUUUUUCUAUUUCAAAUCCUUGAGUUUUAAGUUGUCCUCUUUGCAA
RNAcentral lists this long non-coding RNA (5032 nucleotides) under Theobroma cacao (cacao). RNAcentral's name for it is "long non-coding RNA (TCAC_LNC003583)". The record is from RNAcentral. Lineage: Eukaryota; Viridiplantae; Streptophyta; Magnoliopsida; Malvales; Malvaceae.